Molecule: ribosomal RNA, 254 nt
Filed under: uncultured bacterium
Lineage: Bacteria
Description: partial 16S ribosomal RNA
Rfam family: Bacterial small subunit ribosomal RNA
Source: RNAcentral
UACGGGGGGAGCAAGCGUUGUUCGGAUUUACUGGGCGUAAAGGGCGCGUAGGCGGCCACCGCAAGUCGACUGUGAAAUCUCCGGGCUUAACCCGGAACGGUCAGCCGAUACUGCGGGGCUAGAGUGCAGAAGGGGCAACUGGAAUUCUCGGUGUAGCGGUGAAAUGCGUAGAUAUCAGGAGGAACACCAAUGGCGAAGGCAGCUCGCUGGGACGGUACUGACGCUGAGGCGCGAAAGCGUGGGGAGCAAACAGG